ACGAAAAUAGGUGCAUCGAAGGGAUGCCUAGGUAUUAAAAAAAAGUUGUGUAUUGCAAAAAGCAGGUUUGAAAAAUAUGUUGAAACCUGAUUACUUUAGAAGAAAUUCAUAUUAAGAUAAGAAAAAAGUUGGUGAAGUAAAACAUUUUAGUAACCAUUAAAAAAAACAAACGUGACCUCGUUUGUAGUGGUGAGCGACUACGACGUUGGCAGUUAAAAAUUUUUAAUGUUGAAUUCCAGAGAGGGUAAACUAGUCCUGUAUACAAAAGAAAUUUUAAACGAAUAAAUAACGGAUUAUGAUAAAUUUGUUAGUAUUGUGAGGAUCUACCCUCAAGCCUAUUGAAAUUUUAAUAACCGAUAGUGAACAAGUACCGUGAGGGAAAGGUGAAAAAGAACUUUUUUAGAGUUAAAAGAAUCUAAAAUUCGAUGCAUAUAAUCUGUUGAAGCUUUCGUGUCCAAAAGUAACAGCGUACCUUUUGCAUAAUGGGCCAGUGAUUUUUUAUUUAUGGCAAGCUUAAUUAUAACUAGUAGGCGUAACAAAAAUGAUUUAUAAUCAAAGUAAUUUAAAAGUCAGAAGUAAAAGACCCGAAGCUGAGUGAUCUAACCAUGAACAGGUUGAAGAAAAUGCGGUAGCGCUUUUUGGAGGACCGAACUCGUGUCUGUAGAAAAAUACUGGGAUGAUUUGUGGUUAGGAGUGAAAGGCUAAUCAAACUCAGGUAUAGCUGGUUUUCUGCGAAAUAUAUUUUAGUAUAGCCUGCAAAAUUUAGUUAAAGUAGGGUAGAGCACUUUGCGUUCAAGGGGGGUUUAUAACUUUACCGAGUUCUAAAAAACUCCGAAUAUGCUUUAAUUUUUUGUGGAGUCAGACAAUGGGUGCGAAGGUCAAUUGUCAAGAGGGAAACAGCCCAGAUUACAUGAUAAGGUCUUCAAGUAUAAGUUAAGUGAUAAGAAUGUGAAAAGAUUAUGACAAUUAUAAAGUAGGCUCGGAAGCAGCCAUCUUUUUGAGAGUGCGUAACAGCUCAUUAAUCUAGUUUUUUUGCUUCAAAAAUGUAUAGAGGCUAAAACUUAUAACCGAAUCAGUAAAUAAUUGGUAGCAGAACAUUCGGUACGUUGUAAGGUAUUUUGUCAAAAAUAUUGUAGAUAUCCGAAGAGAGUAUACUGGCAUUAGUAGCAUGAAACAACGUUUUUUAAUCGUUGUCGCCGUAAAUCUAAGGUUUUCGGUACAACAUUUGAUGAUAUCGAUACUAAUUAAUCGGUCCCUAAGACAAAUUACAAAUGUAUAAGUUAAUGGGAUAUUUGGUGUGACAAAGUAAAAAGAUAUUAUUAAUUUAUCGAUUUAUUGGAGUAUUCUAUUAUUUUCUGGAAAGAGCACCAAAAUUGAUAACCGUACCUUAAACCGACUCAGGUAGAUGGGUAGAAUAUACUAAGGCGUUCAAGAUAAGUAUACUGAAGGAACUCGGCAAAUUGGCUCUGUAACUUCGGGAUAAGGAGUGACGUAUUUAGGGAAACCUGAAUAAGUUGACACUAAAGAGGGAGAAACAACUGUUUAACAAAAACACAGGUCUUUGCUAAUUUGAGAAAAGAAGUAUAAAGACUGACACCUGCCCGGUGCUGGAAAGUUACGUAGAGAUGCUGUGGCAUCAAAAUUAAGCUCCAGUAAACGGCGGCUGUAACUCUGACGGUCCAAAGGUAGCGAAAUUCCUUGUCGGGUAAGUUCCGACCUGCAUGAAUGGUGUAAUGAUUUCUCCACUGUCUCCAGUAUAUGCUUGGUGAAUUUGAGGUAUUCGUGAAGACGCGAAUUAUUUGCAGUUAGACGGGAAGACCCCGUGCACCUUUACUAUAAUCUAAAGUUGUAAAGUCUCUUUUUUAGUGUAGAAUAGAUGGGAGCGCAAGCAAUAGUGAAAUACCAUCCUUUAAAAUUGAUUUUACUUAAUUUUUUAAAAGACAGCUUGUGAGAGGUAGUUUGACUGGGGCGGUCACCUCCCAAAGAGUAACGGAGGUGUACAUAAGGCAAUUUCAAAUAAAAAUUUAUUGUAGAGCGUAAUGGCAUAUAGUUGCUUGACUGUAAGAUAAACAUAUCGAACAGGGAUAUAAUGUCGGUCAUAGUGAUCCGGUGAUUUUGUGUGGAAAAAUCAUCGCUCAACGAAUAAAAGGUACGCCGGGGAUAACAGGCUUAUGGUUUCUGAGAGUCCAUAUCGACGAGACCGUUUGGCACCUCGAUGUCUGCUUAUCACAUCCUGGAGCUGAAGUAGGUUCCAAGGGUUCGGCUGUUCGCCGACUAAAGUGGUACAUGAGCUGGGUUCAGAACGUCGUGAGACAGUUUGGUCCCUAUCUGCUGUGAAUGUUAAAAAUUGAAAAGCCUAAAUUUUAGUACGAGAGGAUCGAAUUAAGUAGACCCAUGGUUUGUCGAUUGUUUCAUCUGAUGCAUUGUCGGUAAGCUACGUUUAUAAUAGAUAAUCACUGAAUGCAUCUAAGUGAGAAACUGCCUUUAAAACAAGUUUUUAAAUACGUAAAAGAUUAUUACGAAUUUAGGUUAAAAAUAUAAGGAUUGCAAGAUUUUUAGUUUUUUAAUUCUACUUAAAAAAUUUUACUUU
RNAcentral lists this ribosomal RNA (2590 nucleotides) under Ignavibacteria bacterium. Its description in RNAcentral is "23S ribosomal RNA". It matches the Rfam family "Bacterial large subunit ribosomal RNA". Lineage: Bacteria; Pseudomonadati; Ignavibacteriota; Ignavibacteria. The record is from RNAcentral.